UACAAAAUCAUAAGUUUUACUCUCAAUUUUACGUCUUAUGACUUAUCUCAUACUUCACUUAUAUCACUAGUGGUCGGAACAUAAUAUAUAACAUGUUCAUUUUUAACUCAAGGAUUUAUUCAAAUUUGUCUCUUUUAACUCAUUAAACUUUUAACCCAUACCACUUUAGGAGAUUUCUUACAACUAUAAUUCUAUUAUCAAAUCUUAAUAUGUUCUGCCCUUAGUAAAUUCCAACAAAACAACUCAAAUACAUGUGACUGCUCCACCACACUAAAGGGAACCAAAGUGCAAAAUUGUAUAGUAGUGCAACACAUCAAUCCACCACACCAAAAAGCUUAAAAGAGCAUAAAC
This 351-nucleotide long non-coding RNA is filed under the name Gossypium raimondii (Peruvian cotton). RNAcentral describes it as "long non-coding RNA (GRAI_LNC009730)". The record is from RNAcentral. Lineage: Eukaryota; Viridiplantae; Streptophyta; Magnoliopsida; Malvales; Malvaceae.